This 959-nucleotide ribosomal RNA is filed under the name Obliquifusoideum guttulatum. RNAcentral's name for it is "SSU rRNA". It matches the Rfam family "Eukaryotic small subunit ribosomal RNA", at positions 103 to 1071 of the family's 1831-position model. Lineage: Eukaryota; Fungi; Ascomycota; Sordariomycetes; Savoryellales; Savoryellaceae. The record is from RNAcentral.
AUAUAAGUUAUCGUUUAUUUGAUAUUGCCUAUCCUACAUGGAUAACAGUGGUAAUUCUAGAGCUAAUACAUGCUGAAAAUCCCGACUCACGAAGGGACGUAUUUAUUAGAAUCAGAACCAAUGCCCUUCGGGGUUCCUUGGUGAAUCAUGAUAACUCCACAGAUCGCAUGGCCUUGCGCCGGCGAUGGCUCAUUCAAAUUUCUUCCCUAUCAACUUUCGACGGUACGGUAGUGGCCUACCGUGGUUGUAACGGGUGACGGAGGGUUAGGGCUCGACCCCGGAGAGUACGCGAGAGUAUCGGCGUACACAUCCAAGGAAGGCAGCAGGCGCGCAAAUUAUCCAAUCCCGACACGGGGAGAUAGUGACAAUAAAUACCGAUACAGGGCUCUUUUGGGCCCUGUAAUUGGAAUGAGUACAAUUUAAACCUCUUAACGAGGAACAAUUGGAGGGCAAGUCUGGUGCCAGCAGCCGCGGUAAUUCCAGCUCCAAUAGCGUAUAUUAAAGUUGUUGUGGUUAAAAAGCUCGUAGUCGAACCUCGAGCCUGGCCGGCCGGUCCGCCUCACCGCGUGCACUGGUCUGGCCGGGCUCUUCCCUCUGCGGAACCGCAUGCCCUUCACUGGGCGUGUCGGGGAGGCAGGACUUUUACUUUGAAAAAAUUAGAGUGCUCAAGGCAGGCCAAUGCUCGAAUACAUUAGCAUGGAAUAAUAAAACAGGACGUUGGUUCUAUUUUGUUGGUUUCUAGGACCGCCGUAAUGAUCAAUAGGGACGGUCGGGGGCAUCAGUAUUCGGCCGUCAGAGGUGAAAUUCUUGGACCGGCUGAAGACUAACUACUGCGAAAGCAUUUGCCAAGGACGUUUUCGCUGAUCAGGAACGAAAGUUAGGGGAUCGAAGACGAUCAGAUACCGUCGUAGUCUUAACCAUAAACUAUGCCGACUAGGGAUCGGGCGGCGUUCUUUCUA